ACUCUCACCUCAAGAAAACUCCUUCACAGGUCCUGAUACGUGGGCCCACCAAUAAACCACCGAGACCUCUUUGCCUCAGAUUUGAAACAUUGGCUAAACAGCGUUAAAUUUCCUAGUCAACUGGGAAUGACAAGUCUAAAUAACAAAUGAAACUUGAAGCACACAAGUAUAAGCUUGGUCAUCCUGAGUUCCAGCCAUCAGGGAGGAGAAAGACAGCAUGGAUGAAGCUAUCCCAGGCCCAGAAGUGGCACACGUCACUUCCACUCCAUUCUGCUGAAGAGAACCUGGUUACCAUCACACUCAACAUAGGAGGCUGGGAGACAUAGUCUGAACAUGUCCCAAGAAGAAAAGGAGAAUGGAUUUGGGGGACCAGAUACCCAACUUCUGCUUCCCAUUUUGUCACACAGAAAAAUUAAGUAAAAGAAGAAAACGCAACCUCAAAGACGGGACCAUCUUUUAAAUAUUCUCACUAUAAUCUGUAUAUUAAAAAUGGAGUUCAGGGAAAACACCAUUCCUCUGAAAUUAAAUAAAUUGU
Long non-coding RNA from Equus caballus (horse), 535 nucleotides. RefSeq lists it as uncharacterized. NCBI's taxonomy places the organism in Eukaryota, Metazoa, Chordata, Mammalia, Perissodactyla, Equidae. The record is from RefSeq and is a predicted model, not a curated record.